CGCCGUAAACGAUGUCUACUUGGAGGUUGUGCCCUUGAGGCGUGGCUUCCGGAGCUAACGCGUUAAGUAGACCGCCUGGGGAGUACGGCCGCAAGGUUAAAACUCAAAUGAAUUGACGGGGGCCCGCACAAGCGGUGGAGCAUGUGGUUUAAUUCGAUGCAACGCGAAGAACCUUACCUGGUCUUGACAUCCACAGAAGAAUCCAGAGAUGGAUUUGUGCCUUCGGGAACUGUGAGACAGGUGCUGCAUGGCUGUCGUCAGCUCGUGUUGUGAAAUGUUGGGUUAAGUCCCGCAACGAGCGCAACCCUUAUCCUUUGUUGCCAGCGGUCCGGCCGGGAACUCAAAGGAGACUGCCAGUGAUAAACUGGAGGAAGGUGGGGAUGACGUCAAGUCAUCAUGGCCCUUACGACCAGGGCUACACACGUGCUACAAUGGCGCAUACAAAGAGAAGCGACCUCGCGAGAGCAAGCGGACCUCAUAAAGUGCGUCGUAGUCCGGAUUGGAGUCUGCAACUCGACUCCAUGAAGUCGGAAUCGCUAGUAAUCGUGGAUCAGAAUGCCACGGUGAAUACGUUCCCGGGCCUUGUACACACCGCCCGUCACACCAUGGGAGUGGGUUGCAAAAGAAGUAGGUAGCUUAACCUUCGGGAGGGCGCUUACCACUUUGUGAUUCAUGACUGGGGUGAAGUCGUAACAAGGUAACCGUAGGGGAACCUGC
This 717-nucleotide ribosomal RNA is filed under the name Salmonella enterica subsp. enterica serovar Infantis. RNAcentral describes it as "bacterial SSU rRNA". It matches the Rfam family "Bacterial small subunit ribosomal RNA", at positions 798 to 1515 of the family's 1533-position model. RNAcentral also lists the same sequence under 2 other names. The record is from RNAcentral. Lineage: Bacteria; Pseudomonadati; Pseudomonadota; Gammaproteobacteria; Enterobacterales; Enterobacteriaceae.